UUCUGGAUGUCUGCCUCGGAAUUUUGAUACCAAGUUUUUGAUUGAGAGGGAAUGACAGAAAUUGGGCAUGGACUAAAACAUUGUUCAUGGUAGUCUUCUCGGCAUUUUUUAGCUGUAAUUACCUCCUCAAGCUGGCAUCCUUCCUUGUUACUUAUAAUCACUCCAGCCCCCAAGUUUUUGUUUAUAUGUUCUGAAUACAGUUCAGAAGAGUCUCCCCUAACUUUUUUCAACAAAUAUUCACAACUCUUAUCUGAAGAUGCAGCUUUUCCCUCUCUUUCUCUCUUCUGCCCAAUACUUCUACCAAACUGGUUGGGAUCUUGGCUGCAUUUGGAAUGAAAUGCAGCUUCUUUCUCACAUCCACUUACAUCAAAUAUUUGCACCGAAAAACACAAUUCUCCAUCAUAUCUGAAAACUAAA
RNAcentral lists this unclassified non-coding RNA (417 nucleotides) under Hevea brasiliensis (rubber tree). Lineage: Eukaryota; Viridiplantae; Streptophyta; Magnoliopsida; Malpighiales; Euphorbiaceae. The record is from RNAcentral.